AGCAUUGAAUGUGCGAAGCACGACAGGUUAAUCCGAGUGGUUUCUGCUAAAGGAACCUUUUGUUAGUCCUAAAAACACUAACGAAUAAGGGGUGGGCAAGUUCUGGUGUCAGCCGCCGCGGUAAAA
Molecule: ribosomal RNA, 126 nt
Filed under: uncultured crenarchaeote
Lineage: Archaea; Thermoproteati; Thermoproteota
Description: partial 16S ribosomal RNA
Rfam family: Archaeal small subunit ribosomal RNA
Source: RNAcentral